Molecule: long non-coding RNA, 1421 nt
Organism: Esox lucius (northern pike)
Lineage: Eukaryota; Metazoa; Chordata; Actinopteri; Esociformes; Esocidae
Exons: 4
Source: RefSeq, a predicted model, not a curated record
GAAAUGAGUGUCGACCAAAGAAACACAGGCUUUUGUCAUGGUAUGGUGAUGACCAGCGCCAUCGUGUCGUGCACUCCCGGUUCCCGUCAUUCCAUGAACUCACCCCGGACUCAUUCAUUGUCUUGUCUCCCAUAAUCAUGCACACCAGGUCCCAAUCUUCCCAUCACUCUGUUUAAAUGUUUCUCCUCGGCUCCCCUCUCUUGUCGGUUAUUGUUGCUACAUGUCGCACGUCAGUGGUGAGUUUCGUGUCGCUGUUUAACCUCAGCCCCUUUUCUUUCGUUCAGUUUUGUUUUUGUAUUCGGUGUUCUUUUCAAUUAAAAUCCAGCACGAAUGCAAUUUUGCCUGCGCCUUGUUCCUACUCUAUACGACUACAACGUGACAGCCUUGGGAGUGACCAGAGAAAAACGAUAACUCUAGUUGUACUGUAGUUUGAAAGGCUUGCAGGUUCCGGAUCAUUCUGGGGCCAGCUAGCAGGGUCUGCCCCGCUCCUACACACCCUGCUGCCAUUGGGACCUUGUCACGGGAGGCAUUUAAAAGCUUGAGGCUGAAUACAGAACGGCCAGAAUGGAAGACAGAACAGGCAACGCUGCAUGACGGAGAUGAAGGGUGCAAGUGGUGACAAAUUUACAACCACCAGCACCCAUUCCUCCCACACCACCACUCAAAGGCUGGCCCAGAGAUGACACCUUCUCCACCACAAAGGGGCUACAACAGUUGGUUCCCUACACGCUGUUGAGAAAAAGGCCAGAGUACAGGAGGUGAGCCGAGGGUUUCGGGAGCAACAGCUGAGGAUGGAUCAUCAAUCUACCCCAGGACCUGAGAUGGAUGACGUACAACCCCCUCCCCCUGGGUGUUUGUCUCUGAACAGAACGAAGAACCCAGUAAAAUAGAAAACUUUCAACAGCUCUGUGAGGAAAUGGGGAGGCCCUACAUAGAUCCCAAAUAAGGACUAUGGGAGGGGUGGUAAUCUGUGGUCAUGUGAUAGUGAUAAACCAAUCAUUGAACAUAGUUGUAUAAUAUGUAUAUCCUUCAUACACAAAGGGAGGGAACUGAAAUAUGAUAUUAUGGUAAACCAAUCAUUACGUAAAAUGUGUACUUCCCUCAUGAACCUCAUGAAUAAAAAACGUUAUAAAAGGGUCUGGUGGGUUCGAUAAAAGUAUUUUUUUGCUUUUGGAGCGAAGACUCGAGAAGAGUUGAUCUGACUCUUGGCUAUUGGACCCUCCCGGGAACCUGGCUCUGUCUGUACUAGUGAUUGACUAAAUAAAGUGAAACACGGUGGCUUGAGAAGAUCUACAAGGAAGAAGUGGAGAAACUGCCCAAACCAAGGUGUGCAAAGCCGGUUGAGGCAUACCGAAAAAUAAUCCAAGUUGGGAUCACUGCCAAAAUGUGCAAAGUAUUAAAUAAAGGGUCUAAUUACUUAU